Nothobranchius furzeri (turquoise killifish) is the source of this 3613-nucleotide non-coding RNA. Lineage: Eukaryota; Metazoa; Chordata; Actinopteri; Cyprinodontiformes; Nothobranchiidae. The record is from RefSeq and is a predicted model, not a curated record.
CUCGGGAAGAUAUUUGUAAAUCUCGCGAUAACUACCGUUUUAAACGUCCUCUCAAAUGGCUACCAAAAAGUUAGCCUUACGUUAUGACAAAUUAGUGCCUGGUGCUGUUUAUGGCUGAUUUUUACGUUGCUGUUUAAUUGAACCGUAUUAUACGACACGUAUGCCUCGCAGGUUCGCUACGGAUAAACUCGUUAACUGCAGUAUGAUGUCGGUGGCUCUCAAGAGGAUCGUUAGCACACAAGUUACUGGCACGAGUCCUACCGAGGAUUCACAUUAGCAACGGUGCCAGCCACCUUAGCAACUGCAGAACACCCAGGGUUUUCCUCCAUUAAAGGAACGUUUUACCGCAUCAACGGGGAGAGCAAAUUCCUACAAUGAGACUGAAAACAUCGCUGCUAAAGGAACCCAAACAUAAAGAACUUGCCAGUUGUGUAGGUUGGACUACAGCAGAUGAGCUCUACUCCUGCAGUGAGGAUCAUCAGAUCCUCAAGUGGAACCUGCUCAAUAAUGAAACCAGCCUAGUCAUCCGGUUGCCGGAAGACAUCUAUCCCAUCGAACUACACUGGUUCCCCAAAACCAUCGGUGGCAAGAAACAGGUCCAGGCUGAGAUCUUUGUCCUUACCAGCACAGAUGGGAAGUUCCAUCUGGUCUCCAAGAUGGGACGCAUUGAGAAGAGUGUGGAAGCACACAAGGGAGCAGUCUUGGCUGGGAAAUGGAACUAUGAUGGGACUGCUCUUGUCACUGCUGGAGAAGAUGGUAAGAUUAAGAUCUGGUCCAAAAGUGGGAUGCAACGCUCUACUUUAGCUAAUGAAGGGUCUCCUGUCUACUCCGUGGCCUGGAGUCCAGACUCCGACAGAAUCCUCUACACAUCAGGACGGCAGCUAGUCGUCAAGCCUCUGCAGCCCAGCGCUAAAGUCACACAGUGGAAAGCUCAUGAUGGAAUUAUCCUAAAGGUGGACUGGAAUUCGGUCAGUGACCUCAUCUUAUCAGGUGGAGAAGACUGUAAAUUCAAGGUGUGGGACAGCUUUGGGCGUCUGCUACACUCAUCAGCCUGCCAUGAUUACCCGGUCACGUCCUUGUCCUGGGCUCCAGAUGGGGAGGUGUUCGCCAUGGGCUCCUUUAAUACCCUGCGGCUCUGUGACAAAACCGGAUGGUCCUAUGCGUUGGAGAAACCCAACACAGGCAGCGUGUUAAGCUUGGCCUGGUCUGCGGACGGCACCCAGCUGGCCGGGGCCUGCGGAAACGGACAUGUCAUCUUUGCCCAUGUGGUGGAGCAGCACUGGGAGUGGAAGAACUUUGUCAUCACACUCACCAAGAGGAGAAGCAUGGAGGUGAAGAAUGUGCUGAACGAUGCAGUUGACAUUUUGGAGUUUAGAGAUCGCAUCAUCAAAGUCUCGCUGGCCUACGAUCACCUGGUGGUCGCUACUUCCCUCCAGUGCUACGUCUACAACUCACGAAACUGGAAUACCCCUCUGAUCUUCGAUCUGAAGGAGGGAACGGUCAGCCUCAUCCUGCAAGCAGAGAAAUAUAUUUUACUGGUGGACGGGUCAGGGUUGUACACUUUCUCCUACGAUGGUCGAUUAAUAUCCUCCCCGAAGUUUCCUGGAAUGAGAGCCGACCUCUUAAAUGCUCAGAGUGUCUCACUUAGCAACGACACCGUCGCCAUCAGAGACCAGAAUGAGGAAAAAGUCAUCCUUUUUUUUGACAUCAUGAGUGGAAAAUCUGUUGGCGAUGGGAAACCCGUCACACACAAGUUGGAGGUGGUGGAGAUAGCUUUGGAUCAGUGUGGCCCAUCCAGUGAAAGAAAAAUAGCAUUUAUAGACAAGAACCGCGACCUUUACCUGACCUCUGUGCGUCACCUGAGGAAAGAACCCAAAGUCUGCAAAAUAGGGAGCAUGGUUCAUAGUAUGGCUUGGAAUGACUCUGCUAACAUCUUGUGUGGAAUCCAAGACCAUCAGUUUACAGUUUGGUACGACCCCGGCGUUGUCUUCACCGACAAGGAGCUUCUGUCAAAAAUACUUUACAUUAAAGACGGCAGUGAGUUUAGCCGUGCGCCUCACAUUCUGAGCUACGUCGGCACUAAAGUGACAUUACGCCAAGGAGAUGGUUCGCUGGUGUACAGCAGCGUGCCUGCAUAUCCCGCCAUCCUGCACGAGUACAGCGCCGCAGCACGCUGGGAGGAUGCGCUGCAUCUCUGCCGCUUUGCCAAAGUAAGACGUCUCAGCACCUCCUGGUGUGAGUUUAUAGAGUUUAGUUCUACUCGCCGUUGUGGAAGUAUUGCAUGUAAUCUGAGUACUUUUGUCCUGCAGUCGGAGGCUUCAACACUGUCCAGAUUCAUGUCACCCAGAUGUUUGGAUGCUUUGCAUGAGAGUGGGCAUGGUAAUGAGAAGGUAGUGGACAGGUUUAUGAGACCAGAACAGCCGGCUUGAAUUAGCCUUCAGUUAGCCUGGUGACAGCAUUCACUGGAUGAAUGUGAAGCCAGACGUUUAACUCAUUCUGAUCAAGACCUAAAACUCUCUGCAGCAGCAACCACAACAGGACAACAGUUAAUGAGGGAGGGGUGGAACGAGUGAGAUGGAGAGAGUCGCGGGUUUUAAGAGAUUUCUCCCUUGACCCCUCCCCCGCUGCUUCUGGUAAGAGUUCGGCGGCCGUGUGGUUUUUCCCAGAAACCCGGCUGUUGUCCGUAACCUCCCAUCGUACGUGAGCUGAUGCAGAUUAGUUUACAGCUCUGGUCAAAGACGCACAACGGGAGCUCUUACAGAUCCGUGGAUGGAUGGAUGUUUCCUAUUACAGCUGUUUGUCACCGCGACAGACGCUGAUUAAAGGAUGAGUUAGCCUUUAGCACAACUGUUGGACAUUUGUUGCUGACAUCUUUGUUUUGUUUUUUAUCGAUGCAGCUGUAGUAAUAAAGCGGUGACACGUGUUUACAUUGACUCGGGGCUAAUGCGGGUCUUUAACUGGCUUUGCAUGUAGAAUAAAACAUAACAAAGUAAAUAACUGUUAGCAAACUAAGCUAGGAUUUAAUUAGACAAGGACGAGCCCUACCUUAAUAGUUGAAUUCAUCCUUGUUUUAAUAUUAUCUGUAUUAGUUUCUCUGUUCUACUGACUUCACACACGUCACGUUUGUUUUUAUUUAAAAUAAGUUUGAAUCUUUUUUUUUUUCCUAGGAAUAUAAUUGGCAUUUCUGUUUUCUUCCCUCUCUCCUUGGGACUCGUUUCAGAGACGGACCUGAUUUAUCAGGUGUUUCUGUGAUGAAGCCGCAGGUCAGGUUUCCACCUGGUGUCUGUCUGGUUUAUUUACCCGUGGAAAGGAGCCCCGCCUAGACCUCCCUGCAGCUCAUUCAGACGAGCAGGAAUUAAAUGUCGUGUGCUUUCGGACAUAACAUUCAGUGUUAUUGCUGAUGAAGUUAAAAAAGUCUGUCACAAUUGUAUUAAUGAUGUUGUGAAAAUCCCGUCAGGUGAAAUCUUAAUCACAACUUAGCCGUUACUGCGCUUUAAUUUAAUGAAAUCCCGAAAGCAUAAAUGUUUGCUAGACGUUUUUGUUUUUGAAAUGAAAACUGCUAAUGCUGUCCCUCUGCUCCCCGUGUGGUUAGGAUCGGUGUCUGUGGGCGUGU